This 1394-nucleotide ribosomal RNA is filed under the name Faucicola osloensis. RNAcentral's name for it is "partial 16S ribosomal RNA". It matches the Rfam family "Bacterial small subunit ribosomal RNA". RNAcentral also lists the same sequence under 1 other name. Lineage: Bacteria; Pseudomonadati; Pseudomonadota; Gammaproteobacteria; Moraxellales; Moraxellaceae. The record is from RNAcentral.
AGUCGAACGAUGAUUAUCUAGCUUGCUAGAUAUGAUUAGUGGCGGACGGGUGAGUAACAUUUAGGAAUCUGCCUAGUAGUGGGGGAUAGCUCGGGGAAACUCGAAUUAAUACCGCAUACGACCUACGGGUGAAAGGGGGCGCAAGCUCUUGCUAUUAGAUGAGCCUAAAUCAGAUUAGCUAGUUGGUGGGGUAAAGGCCCACCAAGGCGACGAUCUGUAACUGGUCUGAGAGGAUGAUCAGUCACACCGGAACUGAGACACGGUCCGGACUCCUACGGGAGGCAGCAGUGGGGAAUAUUGGACAAUGGGGGCAACCCUGAUCCAGCCAUGCCGCGUGUGUGAAGAAGGCCUUUUGGUUGUAAAGCACUUUAAGCAGGGAGGAGAGGCUAAUGGUUAAUACCCAUUAGAUUAGACGUUACCUGCAGAAUAAGCACCGGCUAACUCUGUGCCAGCAGCCGCGGUAAUACAGAGGGUGCGAGCGUUAAUCGGAAUUACUGGGCGUAAAGCGAGUGUAGGUGGCUCAUUAAGUCACAUGUGAAAUCCCCGGGCUUAACCUGGGAACUGCAUGUGAUACUGGUGGUGCUAGAAUAUGUGAGAGGGAAGUAGAAUUCCAGGUGUAGCGGUGAAAUGCGUAGAGAUCUGGAGGAAUACCGAUGGCGAAGGCAGCUUCCUGGCAUAAUAUUGACACUGAGAUUCGAAAGCGUGGGUAGCAAACAGGAUUAGAUACCCUGGUAGUCCACGCCGUAAACGAUGUCUACUAGCCGUUGGGGUCCUUGAGACUUUAGUGGCGCAGUUAACGCGAUAAGUAGACCGCCUGGGGAGUACGGCCGCAAGGUUAAAACUCAAAUGAAUUGACGGGGGCCCGCACAAGCGGUGGAGCAUGUGGUUUAAUUCGAUGCAACGCGAAGAACCUUACCUGGUCUUGACAUAGUGAGAAUCCUGCAGAGAUGCGGGAGUGCCUUCGGGAAUUCACAUACAGGUGCUGCAUGGCUGUCGUCAGCUCGUGUCGUGAGAUGUUGGGUUAAGUCCCGCAACGAGCGCAACCCUUUUCCUUAUUUGCCAGCGGGUUAAGCCGGGAACUUUAAGGAUACUGCCAGUGACAAACUGGAGGAAGGCGGGGACGACGUCAAGUCAUCAUGGCCCUUACGACCAGGGCUACACACGUGCUACAAUGGUAGGUACAGAGGGUUGCUACACAGCGAUGUGAUGCUAAUCUCAAAAAGCCUAUCGUAGUCCGGAUUGGAGUCUGCAACUCGACUCCAUGAAGUCGGAAUCGCUAGUAAUCGCAGAUCAGAAUGCUGCGGUGAAUACGUUCCCGGGCCUUGUACACACCGCCCGUCACACCAUGGGAGUCUAUUGCACCAGAAGUAGGUAGCCUAACGCAAGAGGGCGCU